RNAcentral lists this unclassified non-coding RNA (322 nucleotides) under Hevea brasiliensis (rubber tree). The record is from RNAcentral. Lineage: Eukaryota; Viridiplantae; Streptophyta; Magnoliopsida; Malpighiales; Euphorbiaceae.
UGAAAGAAGACAAAAAAAAGUAAUAAUUUUGUUCAGCAGUGUUAAAAUUGGAAAAGUUUGAAAAGGAAAAAAAUUCAAAAAAGAAGUAUUCUGAGAUGUAUUGCGUUGUCCCCUCUCGAUGAUCUUUGCAUGAGACCAAAGAAUAUGCAUGCGUAACUUUCUGCUACAAGCAAGAUGUUUGAUUGUCUUGACAAGUAUAGGUAAAUAUUCUAAGUUCACAUGUAUACAGACACAUAGGAAUAAUCAAAUUCCUCCAUUUUCUAUCCUCUGAACUACAAAUACAACGCAACAAGUAUUUUGAGAUGUAUUGCGUUGUCCCCUC